GGGACUGUAGCUCAGUGGCAGGCCAUCUCCUUGCACACAGAAGGCCUCAAGUUCAAUUCAUGACAGCUCCA
This is a non-coding RNA of Podarcis lilfordi (Lilford's wall lizard), 71 nucleotides long. NCBI's taxonomy places the organism in Eukaryota, Metazoa, Chordata, Lepidosauria, Squamata, Lacertidae. The record is from the annotation of a GenBank genome assembly.